RNAcentral lists this ribosomal RNA (718 nucleotides) under uncultured Acaulospora. RNAcentral describes it as "SSU rRNA". It matches the Rfam family "Eukaryotic small subunit ribosomal RNA", at positions 330 to 1067 of the family's 1831-position model. The record is from RNAcentral. Lineage: Eukaryota; Fungi; Glomeromycota; Glomeromycetes; Diversisporales; Acaulosporaceae.
UGUACAAGUAGCAGAGCGCACGCGCACGUUUCACGACGUUCAAUAGGGUUCGAUUCCGAAGGGAGCCUGAGAUAAUCUACACAUCCAAGGAAGGCAGCAGGCGCGCAAAUUACCCAAUCCCAACACGGGGAGGUAGUGACAAUAUGUAACAAUAUACGGCCUUAUACGUCGUAUAAUUGGAAUGAGUACAAUUUAAAUCCCUUAACGAGGAACAAUUGGAGGGCAAGUCUGGUGCCAGCAGCCGCGGUAAUUCCAGCUCCAAUAGCGUAUAUAAAAGUUGUUGCAGUUAAAAAGCUCGUAGUUGGACCUUGGACCUGGACAGGCGGUCCGCCUCACGGCGAGUACUGUCUUGCUGGGUCUUUCCUCUUGGUGAUCUGUUGUUUCGGCAGCAGGGAACCAGGACCUUUACUUUGAAAAAAUUAGAGUGUUCAAAGCAGGCUCGACGCCCGAAUAUAUUAGCAUGGAAUAAUAAAAUAGGACGUGCGGUUCUAUUUUGUUGGUUUUUGGAAUCGCCGUAAUGAUUAAUAGGGACAGUCGGGGGCAUUAGUACUCACAUGCUAGAGGUGAAAUUCUUGGAUUUUGUGAAGACUAACUUCUGCGAAAGCAUUUGCCAAGGAUGUUUUCAUUAAUCAGAACGAAGGUGAGGGGUAUCGACAACGAUAGAUACCGUUGUAGUCUUAACAGUAACUAUGCCGACUAGGGAUCCGUCGAUGUAUCU